RNAcentral lists this ribosomal RNA (216 nucleotides) under uncultured bacterium. RNAcentral describes it as "partial 16S ribosomal RNA". It matches the Rfam family "Bacterial small subunit ribosomal RNA", at positions 15 to 225 of the family's 1533-position model. The record is from RNAcentral.
GAUCCUGGCUCAGGAUGAACGCUAGCUACAGGCUUAACACAUGCAAGUCGAGGGGCAGCAUGGUCUUAGCUUGCUAAGGCCGAUGGCGACCGGCGCACGGGUGAGUAACACGUAUCCAACCUGCCGUCUACUCUUGGACAGCCUUCUGAAAGGAAGAUUAAUACAAGAUGGCAUCAUGAGUCCGCAUGUUCACAUUNUAAGUAAGUCGUACGACGA